GUUAAAUAAAAAAGUGUGCGGUUAAAGGCCAGAAAAAAGAGAAUGCACAUGUGUAACGUCCCUAAAAUCUACACAAACUGCAGUGACUUUUGGCCAGGGCUGCCCGCUCGGCGCUUGCCAGGUACUUCUGCCGGUGGAAACGCUUCUCCAGCUCGCAGAUCUGAACCCUGGAGAAGGAAGUACGGGGCUUUUUCCGUUUGGGUGGUGUGCGGUUCUGGUACGGAUGUCCUAUCCGCCUCGUUACGGCGAAUGGCACCAGAGCCGCUGCAGGUAACAGAGAGAGAGAGACCGAUCAUAAAAGCUGAUUAUACUGCAUGUCGCCGCCGUUCCACCCAUUCUCUGCUGCCUCUUGACCUCCUAACCCCUCCUGUUGCCUGCCCGCAGGGCGCUUAUGCAGGGGAGGAGGGGAGGGAGGGACAGAGGACCAGCUGCCACCAGCCAUAGUGCUCUGGUGCCUGGCAGAGGGAGUUACUCUAGCCCCCUGCUUCGCUGGGCCUUCUGGCCCCUCAGGGUUGAGGGGGGGCACCAGCUUCAUGCCACCAGCCCCACCUGUCUGGCCCCAGGCGCAGGAGUGUGACCGAUUAGACACACGCUCAGAUAUAUGCAGCCACAUAUGCAUAUUACUGCCGGAUGACCCCAAAAAUGUCAACUCUCCAGUCACUUUGAUCGGAUCCAAUGUGUUUAUAAAAUGUGUAAUAAACUGCAGUGUUCUUUCAUCCAAGAUAAUUGCAAGUUACCCUUUAUUUGAAUUACCAAUAGAGCUGCAACAAUAAGUCGAGGACUGGGUUAGUGGAUCAAGUACAAGUCAUUUUCAACUUUUAAGCAAUUAAUAGAGAAAUACCCUAACAUUUUUUACAAAUUGUCAGAAAGUACUGUUUUCAACCUUUUGAAUAUGGAAGCUCUCUGCUUUUCUUUGUUUUAAAUCAAACUGAAUAUCUUUUAGGUUUAGGAAUUACAAUACACCAAGCGAUUAUUCAGUUUUAAAAGUCAUCUGUUUUCUAAACUCAUUUGCACAAGGUGAUUGGCCUAUAUUUAAAUUCUGCUACACACACUUACACAGGUUUCCUCAACACACAUGCCCUUAUUCACACACACACAACCACACACUAACACACAAAUACACAGAGGCACUUUGCUGUGAGGCGUGAAAGAACGAGAGCUAAGUGAGGCCACUCCAGAGCGCUAUUCUCUAUAUUGAUUUCCCAUUAUCAGACCCCAGUCCCUGUGGAGUCAUUAGUGCCGGGAUCAAACAGACAGACAGAGAAGGAGACUAAUACCAGUCACUUACACCAGCACAGGGAGAUCACCUUACCUCCCCGAGGGUAGGAAGGCCAGAGAAGAGCAGGAGGAGAGGAGGAAAUGAGGAGGGGGGGGUUAGUGGACGGACGAGUGCAACGGGCUAACAGAUGGAGACAGCAAUGUGUAGAGAGCGAGGAAGAGGAAAGAGGUGGGGUUUUGCAGUGGAACGUUCAUGGGCAAAUGGUAGACACUCUUUGAUCACUUUAUUUGGCUGUUUUGUCUUUGGAAGCGGAAAUGUCUUGUUUCACUUUGUUGCCCUUUUUUUUGCUCUUUUUCAGCUACACUAUCCCAAAA
This is a long non-coding RNA of Eleginops maclovinus (Patagonian blennie), 1593 nucleotides long. RefSeq lists it as uncharacterized. The transcript is spliced from 3 exons. The record is from RefSeq and is a predicted model, not a curated record. NCBI's taxonomy places the organism in Eukaryota, Metazoa, Chordata, Actinopteri, Perciformes, Eleginopidae.